Molecule: RNA transcript, 1694 nt
Organism: Nerophis ophidion (straightnose pipefish)
Lineage: Eukaryota; Metazoa; Chordata; Actinopteri; Syngnathiformes; Syngnathidae
Gene name: transcription factor HES-2-like
Exons: 4
Source: RefSeq, a predicted model, not a curated record
AGUAAAGAUGAGAACUCUUCCAAGUUUCAUUUUAGUUGCUUCACCCUAUAACAUCUGAAGACGUGAAAUUAUGAUUGCUAAUGUAAAAAAAAAAAAAAAAAAAGUAAACUUUCAGAGUGCUAACUUGGAGCACUUUUGUGUCCCCACCAUUCUCAAAAUCAAACCUACUCUCUUGUUUAAAUCUAUAAUAUGGACAAGUCAAAAUAAAACCUGCUCUUCGUCCACUUUAAAGUAGUACUGUGCAAAUGUAUUCGUUCAUCAUAUGCUUAUUACUUCUGUGAUGUAUAGUAAGUCCGGUGAAUAAAUGCUUUGGAAGUGUGUGCGCGCGCAUACCUGGCGGGUCUCCCGCCGUGUCCACUUCAAAGACUUUGUCACGUCGCGGCGCGCGUGCAGAGACGACAAAUGGGACACGUGUCUGCGUGUGGACAAAAGACAAGAGUUCCUGUGCGCGGCCCCACGUUGCGAUGGCAACACUCAUCCAGACUGAAGAAUCGGCAGCACAAAGAAAUGUUUCCGCUUCGUAAAAAAGGGGGCAAAAUCAGUGAAAGAAACUGCAAGUUGUCUUUAAUACAUGCAUGGUCGUCUUUUUGUCCUCUUCAGCAUGAUUUUGCACGUCUGAAUUAUUGAGUUUUGCGGUCAUAUUUGGUGCGUGCGUCCUUCGUGGAGUGGUAAAAGUACAGUAAGAUGGAAUAAAAGUUGUAAAGUAUAUGCUUUAAUGUCUGCCCCGUUAUUCAAAAAUAGUGGGCGGGGCUUAGGCAGCGUAACGCAUGAUUGGCUGGAGUGGAUGUGGGCGUGUUCAAGCCAACACGAAGAAUUUAAGAGGUCAGGAGUGCGACUUGGAGGGAUUUAUAUUCCAGAAACUUCCGAGUGUGCAUCAUGAAGACAAAGCAAGAAACGGAGGAGGCCAGCCAUGAUAAAAAGCUUAUGAAAUCCCAAGUGGAGAAGCGUCGACGUGAGAGGAUGAAUCACAGUUUGGAUCGUUUGAGGGUCAUGUUGAUGCACGAACCCCAGCAGCGGGGCGCGUGCCAGCGUCGCGUGGAGAAGACGGAGAUCCUGGAGACCACGGUGAUGUUCCUGCACAACACCAGCAAAGCAAAGGCGGCGAGCGGGCCUUCCUUCCAAGACGGCUUCUCCGCCUGCCUGCGGAGGGCGGCGAGCUUCCUGGGCCCAGAUGUCAAAGGUCUGUGGCUGGUGGCCGCCGUGGACGCCGCCUUCGCCGCCCGCCCCCUGCAGGAGCCCCCCCUGUGCACCUCGUCCUCCAUCCUGCACCUGCUCUGGCAGAGGUCCAAGUCGGCGCCCAGGAAGCCUCUGAUGCCACCGCCCGGGACCUCCUCGCCGAGCACCUGCACGGAGCCCCCGCCCGUUAGCCCCGCCCUCACCUCUUCUCUGUGGAGGCCGUGGCCUUAACGCCCUCCCCGACCUCCUUUGUGAACUUUGACCUCCGCAUCAGCUGACAUUGCACCUGUAAAUAAUGUAAAGAUACUUGUACCUGGAUGAUGUCACAAGCUCCGCCCCCUGGCGCCGACCAGACACGACCUCGGGGUCACGGGUGCCGAGCUUCCAGACCACAGGGUGCAUCUUCACGCACAAACAAUCUCUGUGACCACUAGGCCCACACCUUUAUACAUGACUUGUAUAUUUUGCACAUUAAUUUAUUAUUUAAUUGUCACAACACCAAAUAAACACAUUCCAUG